UCCCAGAGGGGACUUCUGCUCUUCACUUAUCUACUGCUUUUACAGAUGCAGGGACUACGAUGCCUUCAGGAACAUUGUCAACCAGUGGAGCAGGGGGGAACAUUCAGUGAUUCACAGGAACACUGCAGCUGCAGCAGGAGUCGAUGGGGACGAUGAUGCUGAGAACAGUGCAUGAAGAUAUCUUCAAGUACAGAUGACAUGGGGAGACAGCAGCAUGACUGCAGCACCACUCAACAUCAAAGACAGGAAAUAAAAGACUCUCCAUCCAGACUCAGCAGCGAGCAUCAUGCCAGGACGACCCAAAGCAUGCAAUCAAAGCUGAGGUGGAGUUGUCUGGUUUCCAUCUUAUCGUCAUCCUUGAGGCAGACAGCGAGGGCUGUGAUCUGUUCCUUCAUUGGCAGCUACAAACUUGUAUGAUUGAUUUGAGUUUGUGACACUAUUUGAACUGUAUUUCAGUUGUGUUAGCUUAAUGGGGAGGAAAAAUCUUGUGGCCAUAGACAUAUACCAUUUUGGUGAAACCCAUGAGCAGAGGUACUUGUGCUUGCAAAUCAAGUUUCAUAAUUGAGGUCACUGAACCAUGUUCAGUGGAUCCUGGUACAAGUAAGGGAAGUAACUCUGCAGAGAGAAUUGCAGUUUCGUAGUCUCAGACUACCGAGUCCCAUGCAAGAAUAGACAAGUUUGUUAUUCAUGUUCCUGAUUCUAGUCUCAAUGUAAAGUUAGGACUCUUGAAGCCAUAUCAAGGCGGCCUGGAAGUAAUCGUGGCUCAUCCAGGCAGACCAGCGGUUAAUAUGAACAACUUUCCAUGUCACUGCAUUAUAACACUCAAGUCGUGGAGCUUGACCAACCAAUCCAAUAUGGUCACCUCUUCUGAGAAGCAAUAGAGAGCUGGGGACCUGUUUUAGCAUGGGCAAGUCUUUGGAGUCUUGUCACUGCCCAAAUCGAUAAGUCUUGACAUUCUUCAGACUUGAAAACAAAUCUUGCAACCAAAUCUUAUAUGCAGUCCACACCUUGAUUGAUCCUGGUUUGAAAUGUUUCAUGCUUUCACAGUUGUAUUCAAUCAAUAGAUAGCACUAAUUAAAGUUCAUUGAUGCUGCCACACAGCUACAUUAGACAAGAUUACUGAUG
Molecule: long non-coding RNA, 1125 nt
Organism: Haliotis rufescens (red abalone)
Lineage: Eukaryota; Metazoa; Mollusca; Gastropoda; Lepetellida; Haliotidae
Exons: 3
Source: RefSeq, a predicted model, not a curated record